This 433-nucleotide ribosomal RNA is filed under the name uncultured bacterium. RNAcentral's name for it is "partial 16S ribosomal RNA". It matches the Rfam family "Bacterial small subunit ribosomal RNA", at positions 29 to 507 of the family's 1533-position model. The record is from RNAcentral.
AACGAACGCUGGCGGCAUGCCUAACACAUGCAAGUCGAACGAAGCCUUCGGGCUUAGUGGCGCACGGGUGCGUAAAGCGUGGGAAUCUGCCCCUUGCUUCGGAAUAACAGUUAGAAAUGACUGCUAAUAACGGAUGAAGUCUUCGGAACAAAGAUUUAUCGGCAAGGGAUGAGCCCGCGUAGGAUUAGGUAGUGGGUGGGGUAAAGGCCUACCAAGCCGACGAUCAUUAGCUGGUCUGAGAGGAUGAUCAGCCACACUGGGACUGAGACACGGCCCAGACUCCUACGGGAGGCAGCAGUGGGGAAUAUGAGACAAGGGACGCAAGUCUGAGCCAUCAAGGCCGCGUGAGUGAUGAAGGCCUUAGGGUUGUAAAGCUCUUUUACCAGGGAUGAUAAUGACAGUACCUGGAGAAUAAGCUCCGGCUAACUCCGUG